RNAcentral lists this ribosomal RNA (465 nucleotides) under Vreelandella stevensii. Its description in RNAcentral is "partial 16S ribosomal RNA". It matches the Rfam family "Bacterial small subunit ribosomal RNA", at positions 338 to 795 of the family's 1533-position model. The record is from RNAcentral. Lineage: Bacteria; Pseudomonadati; Pseudomonadota; Gammaproteobacteria; Oceanospirillales; Halomonadaceae.
CCUACGGGGGGCAGCAGUGGGGAAUAUUGGACAAUGGGGGGAACCCUGAUCCAGCCAUGCCGCGUGUGUGAAGAAGGCCCUCGGGUUGUAAAGCACUUUCAGUGAGGAAGAACGCCUGGUGGUUAAUACCCAUCAGGAAAGACAUCACUCACAGAAGAAGCACCGGCUAACUCCGUGCCAGCAGCCGCGGUAAUACGGAGGGUGCGAGCGUUAAUCGGAAUUACUGGGCGUAAAGCGCGCGUAGGUGGCUUGAUAAGCCGGUUGUGAAAGCCCCGGGCUCAACCUGGGAACGGCAUCCGGAACUGUCAAGCUAGAGUGCAGCAGAGGAAGGUAGAAUUCCCGGUGUAGCGGUGAAAUGCGUAGAGAUCGGGAGGAAUACCAGUGGCGAAGGCGGCCUUCUGGACUGACACUGACACUGAGGUGCGAAAGCGUGGGUAGCAAACAGGAUUAGAUACCCUUGUAGUC